UACGAAGGGGGCUAGCGUUGUUCGGAAUCACUGGGCGUAAAGCGCACGUAGGCGGAUCUUUAAGUCAGGGGUGAAAUCCGAGGCUCAACCUCGGAACUGCCUUUGAUACUGGGGAUCUCGAGUCCGGGAGAGGUGAGUGGAACUGCGAGUGUAGAGGUGAAAUUCGUAGAUAUUCGCAAGAACACCAGUGGCGAAGGCGGCUCACUGGCCCGGUACUGACGCUGAGGUGCGAAAGCGUGGGGAGCAAACAGG
RNAcentral lists this ribosomal RNA (252 nucleotides) under uncultured bacterium. RNAcentral's name for it is "partial 16S ribosomal RNA". It matches the Rfam family "Bacterial small subunit ribosomal RNA", at positions 524 to 776 of the family's 1533-position model. The record is from RNAcentral.